UACAGAGGGGGCAAGCGUUGUUCGGAAUUACUGGGCGUAAAGGGCGCGUAGGCGGUCCCGUCAGUCCCUUGUGAAAUCCCACGGCUCAACCGUGGACGUGCAUCCAAAACUGCGUCGCUAGAGUCUCGGAGAGGAAGGUGGAAUGCUUGGUGUAGAGGUGAAAUUCGUAGAUAUCAAGCAGAACACCUGCGGCGAAGGCGGCCUUCUGGACGAUGACUGACGCUGAGACACGAAAGCGUGGGGAGCAAACAGG
Molecule: ribosomal RNA, 253 nt
Filed under: uncultured bacterium
Lineage: Bacteria
Description: partial 16S ribosomal RNA
Rfam family: Bacterial small subunit ribosomal RNA
Source: RNAcentral